AGCGAACGCUGGCGGCAGGCUUAACACAUGCAAGUCGAACGCAUCACUUCGGUGGUGAGUGGCAGACGGGUGAGUAACACGUGGGAACGUACCCUUCGAUCUGGGAUAACUUCGGGAAACUGGAGCUAAUACCGGAUACGCCCUUUUGGGGAAAGGUUUACUGUCGAAGGAUCGGCCCGCGUCUGAUUAGCUAGUUGGUGGGGUAACGGCCUACCAAGGCGACGAUCAGUAGCUGGUCUGAGAGGAUGAUCAGCCACACUGGGACUGAGACACGGCCCAGACUCCUACGGGAGGCAGCAGUGGGGAAUAUUGGACAAUGGGGGCAAGCCUGAUCCAGCCAUGCCGCGUGAGUGAUGAAGGCCUUAGGGUUGUAAAGCUCUUUUGUCCGGGACGAUAAUGACGGUACCGGAAGAAUAAGCCCCGGCUAACUUCGUG
RNAcentral lists this ribosomal RNA (435 nucleotides) under uncultured bacterium. Its description in RNAcentral is "partial 16S ribosomal RNA". It matches the Rfam family "Bacterial small subunit ribosomal RNA", at positions 29 to 507 of the family's 1533-position model. The record is from RNAcentral.